ACGAACGCUGGCGGCAUGCCUAACACAUGCAAGUCGAACGAGACCUUCGGGUCUAGUGGCGCACGGGUGCGUAACGCGUGGGAACCUGCCCUUAGGUUCGGAAUAACUCCCCGAAAGGGGUGCUAAUACCGGAUAAUGUCUUCGGACCAAAGAGUUAUCGCCUUUGGAUGGGCCCGCGUUGGAUUAGCUAGUUGGUAGGGUAAAAGCCUACCAAGGCGACGAUCCAUAGCUGGUCUGAGAGGAUGAGCAGCCACACUGGGACUGAGACACGGCCCAGACUCCUACGGGAGGCAGCAGUGGGGAAUAUUGGACAAUGGGCGAAAGCCUGAUCCAGCAAUGCCGCGUGAGUGAUGAAGGCCUUAGGGUUGUAAAGCUCUUUUACCCGGGAUGAUAAUGACAGUACCGGGAGAAUAAGCUCCGGCUAACUCCGUG
This 432-nucleotide ribosomal RNA is filed under the name uncultured bacterium. Its description in RNAcentral is "partial 16S ribosomal RNA". It matches the Rfam family "Bacterial small subunit ribosomal RNA", at positions 29 to 507 of the family's 1533-position model. The record is from RNAcentral.